Molecule: ribosomal RNA, 465 nt
Filed under: uncultured bacterium
Lineage: Bacteria
Description: partial 16S ribosomal RNA
Rfam family: Bacterial small subunit ribosomal RNA
Source: RNAcentral
GACGAACGCUGGCGGCGCGCCUAACACAUGCCAGUCGAACGAGCGAGAGAGAGCUUGCUUUCUUGAGCGAGUGGCGAACGGGUGAGUAACGCGUGAGGAACCUGCCUCAAAGAGGGGGACAACAGUUGGAAACGACUGCUAAUACCGCAUAAGCCCACGGUGCCGCAUGGCACAGAGGGAAAAGGAGCAAUCCGCUUUGAGAUGGCCUCGCGUCCGAUUAGCUAGUUGGUGAGGUAACGGCCCACCAAGGCGACGAUCGGUAGCCGGACUGAGAGGUUGAACGGCCACAUUGGGACUGAGACACGGCCCAGACUCCUACGGGAGGCAGCAGUGGGGAAUAUUGCACAAUGGGGGAAACCCUGAUGCAGCGACGCCGCGUGGAGGAAGAAGGUCUUCGGAUUGUAAACUCCUGUUGUUGGGGAAGAUAAUGACGGUACCCAACAAGGAAGUGACGGCUAACUACGU